Long non-coding RNA from Cynoglossus semilaevis (tongue sole), 553 nucleotides. RefSeq lists it as uncharacterized. The record is from RefSeq and is a predicted model, not a curated record. Lineage: Eukaryota; Metazoa; Chordata; Actinopteri; Pleuronectiformes; Cynoglossidae. The transcript has 3 exons.
CAAUUAAAUAAAAACGCUUUGUUUCAACAAAUAGAUCCUGGUAAUGUUGUUUUGUUUAACAAACACGAGCCCUUACUCUUUUAAUCUGAAGGCUCUUUUUCGGCGUUUUUCCUUCUUUGAAUCGCAAUUGACAGACGCACCAAACCCAGAACACCUGAAGUUGGUUGGUAUUGGUUUACUUGUUGAUUUUUCACGGAGUUUUGUUUGUCACAGCACAGUGUUAGACUGAUGAGGCGAAGUCCACGUGCCCACACAGUCUCACCAAAGCUCUGGCCUUGGCAUAGACCGGCUCCAGGAAGUGAAAGGGAAGCAGCAUGAAGAACAUCACCAGAAAGACAGCGCUUGUCACUGCCAGCAGCACGUAACGGCCGAUAAACAAAGUGUCCACUAUCUGUGGGGGAAGAAAAGGGACGAUCAGUUUAGUGUUGUACCCAAUGACCCAUGGACGGUUCGGGGGCCUCUGCAGUAGUUUAUCUUUGACUCAUACUUGGCAAGAAAUGUCAUCAUCAUCAUCAACCUGCUAUUGAAGGCGUAAGAAGUCUUUCAACCUCUC